Molecule: long non-coding RNA, 2546 nt
Organism: Planococcus citri (citrus mealybug)
Lineage: Eukaryota; Metazoa; Arthropoda; Insecta; Hemiptera; Pseudococcidae
Exons: 9
Source: RefSeq, a predicted model, not a curated record
CGCAAUGAAACGAAUCAACUUAUUCCUGUAAUUAACGAAAAUGAUGUAGUGAAUGGAGCUUUCGUAUUCGUAUUUCGUAGCUGCAGCUGCUUCGUGCUAGGUAUCGAUUAUUAUAAUAUUACUUAAAAAUGUUCCAACAGACCAAAUAAUUGUAACAUUGUUACCAGUCAUUAUUGUAUAGUACCUACGAUAAGAAUGUAGAGUUUCGUUUUUGUUUUGUUAAUAAAUUGAAAAAAAUUGUGUACCUAUUACUUCUGCCUCUGGUCAUUUUUUAAAAAUGAGCUUGAAUCAGUAGAAAUGAUGAUUAUGUUCAAAUGAAGCUCAGGUUUUGUUUUGCUUGAGAUGAACACUGAUCUGCUGUUGAGGUAAGAGGUCAUUGAAGGGAGGAGAUUAUUAUUUAUUUGCAUAUGCAGGACCGUUGAGAGGGGGGCAAAGGGAACAGUUUGCCCCGGACCCAUUUUCUAAAAUGUUGAAAGAUUUUGCCCAUUUUCUUCUAAUUUUCUGCAUUAAAAUUUCUAAAAAAAAAAAAAAAUUGGUAGGUAAAAUUCUACUUUUUAAGUUUUGAAGUGAAAAAAUAAACUUCGUUGUGUUACGUAAAAAAAAUUGAAUUAAGAAUUCAGAUCAGAAGAUAUUCAUUUUUAUUUUUAUUCAGAGGUAUGAAAUUUGAAGUAAUUUUGAACUUUGAAGUUUGAACCAAGUAUACUAAUUGACUUUGAAAUUGCAUAAAAUUUGAAAAACGUUCCAUAAUUAAGUACUUGCAAACACCCAAGGGGUGGAAAGCCGGAAAGGGGAAACCAAUUUUUCUAAACUAAAAAUUUUUUAAACGAAAUUAAUUAUUACACUAGCUGAUGAAUUUAUUGUUUCAGUGAAAAACUGAAAAUAAUUAAAAUUAAUUCAAAAUAAAAUAAACGGGAAUUAAUUGAUGCUCAAAAAUAAAUUCAAAAUUCGCGGCAUUUCGGCCAGGCGUCGCGUGACGUCGAACACGCAGUGUUGUACUUUCAAGGAAACUCAAAACAUCGAAGUAACUUCGAUUUUGAUGAUUAAUAAUUUCUUCAUUUAUUUAUUUUUUAUCAAUUAAUUAUCGCGUUAAAAAAUCAAUAACAAUAAAAUAGAAUGAGUAAAUCAAAUUAAUAAAUUUUUCAAAAUGAUUUCGGUCGAAAAAAAAUCAAAAAUUACAAAUUUGUUGCCAAUUUCUCGUUUCCAGCUCCGGUAACAGUCUUGUUUGACAACAAAUUAAUUUUUUUAUCACCACCGCUUGUGUAAAAAAUAUCGGAAAAGAAGAAGAUUUAUAAAAUAGUGACUUUUUAAUUAAUUUUCUUUAUUAUCUAACUUACAUUGUAAAGAAAGAGUUACAUUAUAGUUACAUCGUAGUGUACAAAUCAUCCGGAUUGAUAUUAUUUAUUCGUAACUCGUAAGCGACGAAAACAACCGCGUCCGCGUUCUGUACUUCGUAAAUCGUCGUCGAAAGAAGAAUUUAUCUGAGCAAGACCGUCGAGUUGAGUCCAGUCGUCGAGAAUCUGAAAAGAACUUUCCAAAUCAGACCAAAAAUGAAGCAACAAAUCGAGCAGGAUUUCAAUGGAAUCUACGUAUUAUCGAGUACCUAAAACCCUUAAAAUCCGAUCACAAAUGAAGGAUUGAAUUAGGCCAGAUUUCAAUAAGACCUGUUAAUGGAUAUGUACCAUCCUUCGAAACCGAUUCGUGAAGUAGAUAAGAACCAUAGGAAGAAUUAGUCCUAUCGCACGAGGUCGUAAUUUGAGUCACACGAACGUCAUUCAUGAGAACCGGAGUCAAUUCUGUUAAAAGCCAAAGCAAUGGACGGUACAAAAGCAAUUGAUUAAAAAGGUCUACGCUCGUGAAAUUAAUUUAAUAUGGUCGUGAUGAGAAGACGAAGAAAAUUCUAAAUACCUUGAAAUAGAGAUUCAUUGCCGCGAACAAAACACUCAGCCAUUUUUAGGAACGACGACUUUCCAAAUCCGCGAGGACGAUGCAUAAAGAAGAAUUUACGCUUGCGUUCGCCGGUCAGCAUAUAUUCGAGACCUUGAAAUAGAGAUUCGUUACCACGAACAAAACACUCCGCCAUUUGUAGAAACGAAGACUUUCCAAAUCCACGAGGACGAUGCAUAAGGAAGAAGUUAGGCUUGUAGGAGCCGUUUAGCAUAUGUUCCAGGUGAGUACAAAAUGUCCUUCCAAAAGUGAUACGUAGAAUAUGAACUCGCGUAUGAGAAUAAAGCCAGACAGAUUUUCUCAUUGAGGGGAACACAACACUUGAGUACAAGAUGAAGAAUAGCGUGGAAUCCAUGCUUAAUCUCAAAUGCAACUUCAUGUCUGAGGACAUUGUGACUUUUGUUUAGAAAAAAAACUUUAUUAUUUAUAAUUCAUGCAAUAAAUAUGUAUGUACUUACUCUAUCCUUCGUAUGUGUAGAUGAUUCUUGUAUUUUAUUUUGUUUUUUACCACUCACUGCUCUUUUUGUAAUUUUUGUUUAUGCAUCUUAUGUGUUGUGAUGUGUAUAAUUUUUUUUUCUAAUGAAUAAACACCGUUAUUCGGA